RNAcentral lists this long non-coding RNA (402 nucleotides) under Homo sapiens (human). RNAcentral describes it as "non-protein coding lnc-EPM2AIP1-1:2". Lineage: Eukaryota; Metazoa; Chordata; Mammalia; Primates; Hominidae. The record is from RNAcentral.
CUUGGAAUAGGUCUGCGGCUGCACACCGCCCGGACGCCGGGGUUCCUGCGUCCCCCGCCCCCUCUGAUCGCGGCUGGGUAGCCGAGCCGCAGGCAGCUGGGGGCCCCCGAACGCCGCCUCUGCAUCGCGCCGCCCCUGCCCCGGGCUCCGGUAGCUUUCGGGCUUCCGCACUGCCCGCCGCGCCCUGCCCACAGGGAAGCGCUUCCCCAGGCGGCGGCGGUCCUGGUGCGGACCCUCCGGCCGCAGCCAUGUGGGACCCGCGGGCAGCUAGGGUUCCCCCGAGGGACUUGGCUGUGCUGCUGUGCAACAAAUCAAAUGCAUUUUUCAGCCUUGGGAAGUGGAAUGAGGCAUUUGUUGCUGCCAAGGAAUGUCUCCAAUGGGAUCCAACCUACGUGAAGGUAU